GCCAGGUUUGGUGGCGCACACCUGUAACCUCAGCUACUCGGAGGCUCAGGCGGGAGGAUGGUAAGUUCGAGGCCAGCUUGGGCAACUUAACGAGACCCUGUCUCAA
Molecule: small RNA, 106 nt
Filed under: Marmota monax (woodchuck)
Lineage: Eukaryota; Metazoa; Chordata; Mammalia; Rodentia; Sciuridae
Source: RNAcentral